RNAcentral lists this ribosomal RNA (406 nucleotides) under uncultured bacterium. Its description in RNAcentral is "partial 16S ribosomal RNA". It matches the Rfam family "Bacterial small subunit ribosomal RNA", at positions 29 to 526 of the family's 1533-position model. The record is from RNAcentral.
AUUGAACGCUGGCGGCAGGCCUAACACAUGCAAGUCGAACGAGUGGCGGACGGGUGAGUAAUGUCUGGGAAACUGCCUGAUGGAGGGGGAUAACUACUGGAAACGGUAGCUACUACCGCAUACCAUCAGAUGUGCCCAGAUGGGAUUAGCUUGUGGGUGGGGUAACGGCUCACCAAGGCGACGCUGCCGAGCUGGGCUGAGAGGAUGACCAGCCACACUGGAACUGAGACACGGGCAAGACUCCUACGGGAGGCAGCAGUGGGGAAUAUUGCACAAUGGGCGAAAGCCUGAUGCAGCAAUGCCGCGUGAAUGAAGAAGGCCUUCGGGUUGUAAAGUACUUUCGGCGGGGAGGCGUUACCCGAAGAAGAAGCACCGGCUAACUCCGUGCCAGCAGCCGCGGUAAUAC